UACGUAGGGAGCAAGCGUUGUCCGGAUUUACUGGGUGUAAAGGGUGCGUAGGCGGCUUUGCAAGUCAGAAGUGAAAUCUAUGGGCUCAACCCAUAAACUGCUUUUGAAACUGCAGGGCUUGAGUGAAGUAGAGGUAGGCGGAAUUCCCGGUGUAGCGGUGAAAUGCGUAGAGAUCGGGAGGAACACCGGUGGCGAAGGCGGCCUGCUGGACUGCGACUGACGUUGAGGCCCGAAAGCGUGGGGAGCAAACAGG
RNAcentral lists this ribosomal RNA (253 nucleotides) under uncultured bacterium. RNAcentral's name for it is "partial 16S ribosomal RNA". It matches the Rfam family "Bacterial small subunit ribosomal RNA", at positions 524 to 776 of the family's 1533-position model. The record is from RNAcentral.